Molecule: ribosomal RNA, 528 nt
Filed under: uncultured bacterium
Lineage: Bacteria
Description: partial 16S ribosomal RNA
Rfam family: Bacterial small subunit ribosomal RNA
Source: RNAcentral
UGGGGAAUUUUGGACAAUGGGGGAAACCCUGAUCCAGCCAUCCCGCGUGUGCGAUGAAGGCCUUCGGGUUGUAAAGCACUUUUGGCAGGAAAGAAACGUCGCGGGUUAAUACCCCGCGAAACUGACGGUACCUGCAGAAUAAGCACCGGCUAACUACGUGCCAGCAGCCGCGGUAAUACGUAGGGUGCAAGCGUUAAUCGGAAUUACUGGGCGUAAAGCGUGCGCAGGCGGUUCGGAAAGAAAGAUGUGAAAUCCCAGAGCUUAACUUUGGAACUGCAUUUUUAACUACCGGGCUAGAGUGUGUCAGAGGGAGGUGGAAUUCCGCGUGUAGCAGUGAAAUGCGUAGAUAUGCGGAGGAACACCGAUGGCGAAGGCAGCCUCCUGGGAUAACACUGACGCUCAUGCACGAAAGCGUGGGGAGCAAACAGGAUUAGAUACCCUGGUAGUCCACGCCCUAAACGAUGUCAACUAGCUGUUGGGGGCCUUUCGGGCCUUGGUAGCGCAGCUAACGCGUGAAGUUGACCGCCU